GUAUCAUGGAAGAGAUUGGUUUUGCACCGGUUCAAACUUGCCAAAAAAAAAGUGAUUGAGAUUGAGAGAAGCGUGUUGCUGCAGUCACAAGGAAGUCCAAAAGCUAAUUUAUCAAGACUGCUUCGGGUUCUUGCAAGCUUCAACCUCGUGCAACAAGAAUUGAAAACGCAAACAUACUCUGUAUGAUUCCUGAUUCCGGCAGCGACAUCCAAGACGAGGGAUCUAGUUUAGGUCUUGGAUCCACUCUCUUGAAGAGGCUGUAUAGAUAAGCAGAGGAACAAUCUUAA
RNAcentral lists this long non-coding RNA (287 nucleotides) under Brassica napus (rape). Its description in RNAcentral is "long non-coding RNA (BNAP_LNC007822)". Lineage: Eukaryota; Viridiplantae; Streptophyta; Magnoliopsida; Brassicales; Brassicaceae. The record is from RNAcentral.